This 301-nucleotide ribosomal RNA is filed under the name uncultured bacterium. RNAcentral's name for it is "partial 16S ribosomal RNA". It matches the Rfam family "Bacterial small subunit ribosomal RNA", at positions 509 to 808 of the family's 1533-position model. The record is from RNAcentral.
CAGCCGCCGCGGUAAUACGUAGGGUGCGAGCGUUAAUCGGAAUUACUGGGCGUAAAGCGAGCGCAGACGGUUAUUUAAGCAGGAUGUGAAAUCCCCGGGCUUAACCUGGGAACUGCGUUCUGAACUGGAUAGCUAGAGUGUGUCAGAGGGGGGUAGAAUUCCACGUGUAGCAGUGAAAUGCGUAGAGAUGUGGAGGAAUACCGAUGGCGAAGGCAGCCCCCUGGGAUAACACUGACGCUCAUGCUCGAAAGCGUGGUAGCAAACAGGAUUAGAUACCCCUGUAGUCCCUGUCUCUUAUACA